UACGUAGUGUGCGAGCGUUGUCCGGAAUUAUUGGGCGUAAAGAGCUCGUAGGCGGUUUGUCGCGUCGACUGUGAAAACCCGAGGCUUAACCUCGGGCCUGCAGUCGAUACGGGCAGACUAGAGUUCGGUAGGGGAGACUGGAAUUCCUGGUGUAGCGGUGGAAUGCGCAGAUAUCAGGAGGAACACCUAUGGCGAAGGCAGCUCGCUGGGACGGUACUGACGCUGAGGCACGAAGGCCAGGGGAGCAAACGGG
This 253-nucleotide ribosomal RNA is filed under the name uncultured bacterium. Its description in RNAcentral is "partial 16S ribosomal RNA". It matches the Rfam family "Bacterial small subunit ribosomal RNA", at positions 524 to 776 of the family's 1533-position model. The record is from RNAcentral.